RNAcentral lists this ribosomal RNA (669 nucleotides) under uncultured Bacilli bacterium. RNAcentral's name for it is "bacterial SSU rRNA". It matches the Rfam family "Bacterial small subunit ribosomal RNA", at positions 52 to 704 of the family's 1533-position model. The record is from RNAcentral. Lineage: Bacteria; Bacillati; Bacillota; Bacilli.
UACAUGCAAGUAGAACGCUGAAGAGAGGAGCUUGCUCUUCUUGGAUGAGUUGCGAACGGGUGAGUAACGCGUAGGUAACCUGCCUGGUAGCGGGGGAUAACUAUUGGAAACGAUAGCUAAUACCGCAUGAAAUGGAUUAUCGCAUGAUAAUUCAUUGAAAGGUGCAAAUGCAUCACUACCAGAUGGACCUGCGUUGUAUUAGCUAGUUGGUGGGGUAACGGCUCACCAAGGCGACGAUACAUAGCCGACCUGAGAGGGUGAUCGGCCACACUGGGACUGAGACACGGCCCAGACUCCUACGGGAGGCAGCAGUAGGGAAUCUUCGGCAAUGGACGGAAGUCUGACCGAGCAACGCCGCGUGAGUGAAGAAGGUUUUCGGAUCGUAAAGCUCUGUUGUAAGAGAAGAACGAGUGUGAGAGUGGAAAGUUCACACUGUGACGGUAUCUUACCAGAAAGGGACGGCUAACUACGUGCCAGCAGCCGCGGUAAUACGUAGGUCCCGAGCGUUGUCCGGAUUUAUUGGGCGUAAAGCGAGCGCAGGCGGUUAGAUAAGUCUGAAGUUAAAGGCUGUGGCUUAACCAUAGUACGCUUUGGAAACUGUUUAACUUGAGUGCAAGAGGGGAGAGUGGAAUUCCAUGUGUAGCGGUGAAAUGCGUAGAUAUAUGGAGG